GAUGAAGAACGUAGCGAAAUGCGAUAGUAGUGUGAAUUGCAGAAUUCAGUGAAUCAUCGAAUCUUUGAACGCACAUUGCGCCCUUUGGUAUUCCUUAGGGCAUGCCUGUUCGAGCGUCAUUUGAAACCUCAAGCUCAGCUUGGUGUUGGGUGUCUGUCCCCGCCUCCGCGGGGACUCGCCUCAAAAUCAUUGGCGGCCGGUACGUUGGCUUCGAGCGCAGCAGAAACGCGAACUCGAGGCCCGGCGGAUCGGCGACCAGAAGUCUCUUCUUCACAGUUUGACCUCGGAUCAGGUAGGGAUACCCGCUGAACUUAAGCAUAUCAAUAAGCGGAGGA
Molecule: unclassified non-coding RNA, 335 nt
Filed under: soil metagenome
Description: partial contains 5.8S ribosomal RNA, internal transcribed spacer 2, and large subunit ribosomal RNA
Rfam family: 5.8S ribosomal RNA (bases 1-119)
Source: RNAcentral